UCUUCUUAGUGAUCAUGAAUCCUACAAUGGGUCAAACACCCCUAGCUCUCAGUCUAAUUUUUGGGCUAGGUUUGCCCUGUUUGUAAGCUACCAAAAAAUUCAACGGUAUUGUUGAUGGCAGACUAUUAGUUGGUGACAUGAGAGUUAGGAUAUAAAUCAGUUCCCAUCUUGCAGGAACUGCAUUUGAGCUGCCUGAUGGCACGAACGGUGUACACCUUUGAUCACUGUUCUCCCUUAUUUUCACCGUCCCACAUUCUGCCAAAGGAACAGUCAUUCUACAGUAGUCUCGAGGUUCAACUCGACAACAAAGCUAGGCAUGGAAGAAUAUUCAUGACCGUUUGUUGGUGUGCCAAUCCGACCAGUGCGCCUUAUGAAACUUCACCUCUCAUCAAAACCACAAAUAACAAAACAAAAGACAUAGAAUUAUUGCAAACUCUGGUUUUUUUCCUUGGUCCAGGCCAGGCUGAGCUGAUCUGAGCAGCCGAUCCAGCUGCGUGAGGAUGUAUUGACGAUGAAAUGCAAUGAGUCGGCAAUCUAAACAUAGUGGAGUAUUCAGAUUUAUGGUGAUA
Molecule: long non-coding RNA, 569 nt
Filed under: Setaria italica (foxtail millet)
Lineage: Eukaryota; Viridiplantae; Streptophyta; Magnoliopsida; Poales; Poaceae
Description: long non-coding RNA (SITA_LNC004392)
Source: RNAcentral